ACUCCUACGGGAGGCAGCAGUGGGGAAUAUUGCGCAAUGGGCGAAAGCCUGACGCAGCCAUGCCGCGUGUGUGAAGAAGGCCUUAGGGUUGUAAAGCACUUUCAAUUGGGAAGAAAAGUUUACCGUUAAUAGCGUGCAGCUGUGACAUUACCUUUAGAAGAAGCACCGGCUAACUCCGUGCCAGCAGCCGCGGUAAUACGGAGGGUGCAAGCGUUAAUCGGAAUUACUGGGCGUAAAGCGCGCGUAGGCGGUUUGUUAAGUUGGAUGUGAAAGCCCUGGGCUCAACCUGGGAACUGCAUUCGAUACUGAUCGACUAGAGUACGAGAGAGGGAGGUAGAAUUCCACGUGUAGCGGUGAAAUGCGUAGAUAUCUGGAGGAAUACCGGUGGCGAAGGCGGCCUCCUGGCUCGAUACUGACGCUGAGGUGCGAAAGCGUGGGUAGCAAACAGGAUUAGAUACCCUGGUAGUCCACGCCGUAAACGAUGUCUACUAGCCGUUGGGAGACUUGAUUUCUUACGUGGCGCAGCCGGCGCACUAAGUAGACCGCCUGGGGAGUACGGCCGCAAGGUUAAAACUCAAAUGAAUUGACGG
Molecule: ribosomal RNA, 590 nt
Filed under: uncultured bacterium
Lineage: Bacteria
Description: bacterial SSU rRNA
Rfam family: Bacterial small subunit ribosomal RNA
Source: RNAcentral